GUUGACCUGGGAUGUCCGGGAAAAGCUUGUUGUUUGAACCUACAAAUGAAAUAAGGGAGUCUAGUGUUUGGCAGUUGAAGUCAGACCCCAGUUCUAAUACCGCCAUAUGGCAUAAGUCAUAUGCAACGGCAGGGGAAGGCUGAGACUUUCAAUAGGACACCCACCUAGCGAAGGCUAGGUGUCAAACAGCAAGUGAAGGCAUUUUGGGUAUUCA
This 214-nucleotide non-coding RNA is filed under the name Clostridia bacterium. RNAcentral's name for it is "6S RNA". It matches the Rfam family "6S / SsrS RNA". From Rfam's summary of the family: E. coli 6S RNA was the first non coding RNA to be sequenced, but its function was unknown until recently. It consists of 184 nucleotides that fold into an extended hairpin structure with a large single-stranded internal bulge. The 6S RNA specifically associates with RNA polymerase holoenzyme containing the sigma70 specificity factor. Lineage: Bacteria; Bacillati; Bacillota; Clostridia. The record is from RNAcentral.